ACUUCGCUGCCACCGUCCAUGCUUGUCAAGGCCUCAGCAGACGAACCUCUGGUUUAAAAGAUUAUUCUUGUGAAGCAGACAUGGGAAUGCUUAAAACUGUGCUAAAAGGCCUGAAAAUUGAAAGGCUGAGAUUGCCUCACAGGAAGCUGCCUUCUAUCAAGCCAAAUCUUUGACUCACUGUUGACAGGUAGUUGCAAUCCAGAGUUUCACUAUCUGGGAGAUGUCAGGGACUGAACCUCCUAGGACACGUGUGCUAAGUUACAGUCCUUUCUUACUUAUGUGCAAAUACGUUCAGAAAAGUCACUGUGUUAGCAAUACGGCAAAUAAAACAAAUAUAUAAAUAUCCAGGAAAACGAAUCAAGCAUGAAUUACAUACCCCUUGAAAGUAUGGCCUUUAUUGUCACUGCAAAAAACUACUACUAAAGAUGUUGAUGCCUGUAA
This is a long non-coding RNA of Sceloporus undulatus (fence lizard), 441 nucleotides long. RefSeq lists it as uncharacterized. The transcript has 2 exons. Lineage: Eukaryota; Metazoa; Chordata; Lepidosauria; Squamata; Phrynosomatidae. The record is from RefSeq and is a predicted model, not a curated record.